RNAcentral lists this ribosomal RNA (433 nucleotides) under uncultured bacterium. RNAcentral describes it as "partial 16S ribosomal RNA". It matches the Rfam family "Bacterial small subunit ribosomal RNA", at positions 29 to 507 of the family's 1533-position model. The record is from RNAcentral.
AACGAACGCUGGCGGCAUGCCUAACACAUGCAAGUCGAACGAGACCUUCGGGUCUAGUGGCGCACGGGUGCGUAACGCGUGGGAACCUGCCCUUAGGUUCGGAAUAACUCCCCGAAAGGGGUGCUAAUACCGGAUAAUGUCUUCGGACCAAAGAUUUAUCGCCUUUGGAUGGGCCCGUGUUGGAUUAGCUAGUUGGUAGGGUAAAAGCCUACCAAGGCGACGAUCCAUAGCUGGUCCGAGAGGAUGAUCAGCCACACUGGGACUGAGACACGGCCCAGACUCCUACGGGAGGCAGCAGUGGGGAAUAUUGGAAAAUGGGCGAAAGCCUGAUCCAGCAAUGCCGCGUGAGUGAUGAAGGCCUUAGGGUUGUAAAGCUCUUUUACCCGGGAUGAUAAUGACAGUACCGGGAGAAUAAGCUCCGGCUAACUCCGUG